CCGAUAGCGUAUAUUAAAGUUGUUGCAGUUAAAAAGCUCGUAGUUGAAUUUCGGGGUUAGUAGGUUGGUCAUGCCUCUGGUAUGUACUGGUCUCACUGAUUCCUCCUUCCUGAUGAACCUUAAUGCCAUUUAUUUGGUGUUUUGGGGAAUUUGGACUGUUACUUUGAAAAAAUUAGAGUGUUUAAAGCAAGCUAACGCUUGAAUACAUUAGCAUGGAAUAAUGAAAUAGGACGUUCGAUCCUAUUUUGUUGGUUUCUAGGAUUGACGUAAUGAUUAAUAGG
Molecule: ribosomal RNA, 281 nt
Filed under: uncultured Glomus
Lineage: Eukaryota; Fungi; Glomeromycota; Glomeromycetes; Glomerales; Glomeraceae
Description: partial 18S small subunit ribosomal RNA
Rfam family: Eukaryotic small subunit ribosomal RNA
Source: RNAcentral